RNAcentral lists this ribosomal RNA (253 nucleotides) under uncultured bacterium. Its description in RNAcentral is "partial 16S ribosomal RNA". It matches the Rfam family "Bacterial small subunit ribosomal RNA", at positions 524 to 776 of the family's 1533-position model. The record is from RNAcentral.
UACGUAGGGUGCGAGCGUUAAUCGGAAUUACUGGGCGUAAAGCGUGCGCAGGCGGUUUUGUAAGACAGAUGUGAAAUCCCCGGGCUCAACCUGGGAACUGCAUUUGUGACUGCAAGGCUGGAGUGCGGCAGAGGGGGAUGGAAUUCCGCGUGUAGCAGUGAAAUGCGUAGAUAUGCGGAGGAACACCAGUGGCGAAGGCGGCCACCUGGACAGUAACUGACGCUGAGGCGCGAAAGCGUGGGUAGCAAACAGG